GACGAACGCUGGCGGCGUGCUUAACACAUGCAAGUCGAACGAUGAAGCCGGAGCUUGCUCUGGUGAAUUAGUGGCGAACGGGUGAGUAACACGUGAGUAACCUGCCCUUGACUCUGGGAUAACUGCUAGAAAUGGUAGCUAAUACCGGAUACGACCCUCGGAGGCAUCUCCAGGGGGUGGAAAGAAUUUCGGUCAAGGAUGGACUCGCGGCCUAUCAGCUAGUUGGUGAGGUAACGGCUCACCAAGGCGACGACGGGUAGCCGGCCUGAGAGGGUGACCGGCCACACUGGGACUGAGAGACGGCCCAGACGCCUACGGGGGGCAGCAGUGGGGGAUAUUGCACAAUGGGCGCAAGCCUGAUGCAGCAACGCCGCGGGAGGGAUGACGGCCUUCGGGGUGUAAACCUCUUUAAGUAGGGAAGAAGCGAAAGUGACGGUACCUGCAGAAAAAGCACCGGCUAACUACGUGCCAGCAGCCGCCGUAA
RNAcentral lists this ribosomal RNA (484 nucleotides) under uncultured bacterium. RNAcentral's name for it is "partial 16S ribosomal RNA". It matches the Rfam family "Bacterial small subunit ribosomal RNA", at positions 28 to 523 of the family's 1533-position model. The record is from RNAcentral.